GACGAACGCUGGCGGCGCGCUUAACACAUGCAAGUCGUGCGGUACCGAUGGCAAGUCUUCUUGACGAGCCUUCGGUAUAGCGGCGGACGGGUGAGUAACACGUGAGUAGCUGUCCUAGGGAGGGGGAUAACGCCUGGAAACGGGUGCUAAAACCCCAUAAGCCUCGAAAGAGGUAAAAGUGCAUCACUGCAGUCCUAGGGUGUGCUCGCGGCCUAUCAGCUAGUUGGUGAGGUAAGGGCUCACCAAGGCCAAGACGGGUAGCCGGCCUGAGAGGGUGUACGGCCACACUGGAAUUGAGAUACGGUCCAGACUCCUACGGGAGGCAGCAGUUGGGAAUCUUAGGCAAUGGACGAAAGUCUGACCUAGCGACGCCGCGUGAGGGAAGAAGGCCUUCGGGUUGUAAACCUCUGUCAUGGGGAAGAAGUAAGUGACGGUACCCAAGAGGAAGCCCCUGCUAACUACGUG
RNAcentral lists this ribosomal RNA (465 nucleotides) under uncultured bacterium. RNAcentral describes it as "bacterial SSU rRNA". It matches the Rfam family "Bacterial small subunit ribosomal RNA", at positions 28 to 507 of the family's 1533-position model. The record is from RNAcentral.